GGAGAAUUGGCAGAGUGGUCGAUUGCACUGGUCUUGAAAACCAGCGUACCGCAAGGUACCGGGGGUUCGAAUCCCUCAUUCUCCG
This 85-nucleotide transfer RNA is filed under the name Cryomorphaceae bacterium. RNAcentral's name for it is "tRNA-Ser". It matches the Rfam family "tRNA". Rfam says of the family: Transfer RNA (tRNA) molecules are approximately 80 nucleotides in length. Their secondary structure includes four short double-helical elements and three loops (D, anti-codon, and T loops). The record is from RNAcentral. Lineage: Bacteria; Pseudomonadati; Bacteroidota; Flavobacteriia; Flavobacteriales; Cryomorphaceae. RNAcentral also lists the same sequence under 3 other names.